This 464-nucleotide ribosomal RNA is filed under the name uncultured bacterium. Its description in RNAcentral is "partial 16S ribosomal RNA". It matches the Rfam family "Bacterial small subunit ribosomal RNA", at positions 28 to 507 of the family's 1533-position model. The record is from RNAcentral.
GACGAACGCUGGCGGCGUGCUUAACACAUGCAAGUCGAACGGAAAGGCCCUGCUUGCAGGGUACUCGAGUGGCGAACGGGUGAGUAACACGUGGGUGAUCUGCCCUGCACUUCGGGAUAAGCCUGGGAAACUGGGUCUAAUACCGGAUAGGAGCCAUUCUUAGUGUGAUGGUUGGAAAGUUUUUUCGGUGUAGGAGGAGCUCGCGGCCUAUCGGCGGGUUGGUGGGGUAGGGGCCUACCAAGGCGGGGACGGGUAGCCGGCCGGAGAGGGGGGCGGGCCAAAUGGGGAUGGAGAGACGGCCCAGACUGCUACGGGAGGCAGCAGGGGGGAAGAGUGAACAAGGGGCGGAAGCCUGAUGCAGCAACGCCGCGUGAGGGAUGACGGCCGUCGGGUUGUAAACCGCGUUCGCCGGUGACGAAGCGGGAGGGACGGGAAUGGGUAAAGAAGCACCGGCUAACUACGGG